This 627-nucleotide unclassified non-coding RNA is filed under the name Sebacina sp. 146. Its description in RNAcentral is "sequence contains 18S rRNA gene, ITS1, 5.8S rRNA gene, ITS2 and 28S rRNA gene". The stretch from base 119 to 272 matches the Rfam family "5.8S ribosomal RNA". The record is from RNAcentral. Lineage: Eukaryota; Fungi; Basidiomycota; Agaricomycetes; Sebacinales; Sebacinaceae.
UGCAUGUGGGGACAUGGUUCCUAGAUCCUCUUGGGAAGACUGCCUCUUUCUCGCCCGUUGUGGUGAGGUUUCCUCGCGUGAAUGUGAUGUUGUUAUCUUGCUUUGAGCACUAAUAUACGUGUAGCAACAACUGGUUUCUUGACACUCGCAUCGGUGUAGCCCGCAUCGGAAAGCGAUUUGCAAUGUGAUUUGCAAAAUUCAAUGAAUCAUCGGAUCUUGGAAGUCACCUUGCAUCUCCUGUUUUUCCACAGGCUGUGCCGGUUAGAGAGCCAUUAUAUUCUCACCCGAUCUUAUUAGCUACAUAGCUUUGCACUUGAAUACUACCCGGGACUUACUGAAAGGGCCCCCCGAAUUUUUAAUUCUGACGACUGGCUAAGCCAACACCGUAUGACAAAAGGGCAAAAAUGUUUGUGGUGCUUAUGAGUUUUUGGUUUUGACCAUCACAAUAAAUGCGUGAUAUCCGAGGUUUACAUACUUAAGAUUUUCUCCCUGAACUUUCAUCUUCCAAUGGCCGAAGGAAAAUGCACUUAAGGAUGGCUGUCGAGAACAAUAAAGAAAAACACCCCCUGUAAUUUGGCCGGGGAUGGAUAGAAAGAAAAAAUACGGAGACACGCUUUGACCACUCUC